CCGACCUUAGCUCAGUUGGUAGAGCGGAGGACUGUAGUAGGCUUGACUAUAGCAGCAAAUCCUUAGGUUGCUGGUUCGAAUCCGGCAGGUUGGA
RNAcentral lists this transfer RNA (94 nucleotides) under Ipomoea nil (Japanese morning glory). It matches the Rfam family "tRNA". From Rfam's summary of the family: Transfer RNA (tRNA) molecules are approximately 80 nucleotides in length. The record is from Rfam by way of RNAcentral. Lineage: Eukaryota; Viridiplantae; Streptophyta; Magnoliopsida; Solanales; Convolvulaceae.